Molecule: ribosomal RNA, 292 nt
Filed under: uncultured prokaryote
Description: partial 16S ribosomal RNA
Rfam family: Bacterial small subunit ribosomal RNA
Source: RNAcentral
GUGCCAGCAGCCGCGGUAAUACGGAGGGUGCAAGCGUUAAUCGGAAUUACUGGGCGUAAAGGGAGCGCAGGCGGUGACUUAAGUCUGAUGUGAAAGCCCACGGCUCAGCCGUGGAAGGUCAUUGGAAACUGGGUCACUUGAGUGCAGAAGAGGAAAGUGGAAUUCCAUGUGUGGCGGUGAAAUGCGUAGAUAUAUGGAGGAACACCAGUGGCGAAGGCGACUGCCUGGGCUGACAUUGACGCUGAGGUGCGAAAGCGUGGGUAGCAAACAGGAUUAGAAACCCCUGUAGUCC